Molecule: ribosomal RNA, 245 nt
Filed under: Leptosquilla schmeltzii
Lineage: Eukaryota; Metazoa; Arthropoda; Malacostraca; Stomatopoda; Squillidae
Description: partial large subunit ribosomal RNA
Rfam family: Eukaryotic large subunit ribosomal RNA
Source: RNAcentral
GUAAGGGCGACUGAACGGGGAGGAGCCCAGCGCGGAACCUCGCGCGCCUCACCGGCUGCGUCUGAGGAAUGUCGCGUUCCGGAGGGGCCUUCUCCGACCACACCGACCCCCCCCAAGUCCGCUUGAACGCGGCCACUGCCCAUGGAGGGUGCGAGGCCCGUACGGGGAUUAGGAGUCGGGCGGUCGGACGGCCCCGUCCGUAGAGUCGGGUUGCCUACUAACGCAGCCCAAAGCAGGUGGUAAAC